Long non-coding RNA from Chinchilla lanigera (long-tailed chinchilla), 474 nucleotides. RefSeq lists it as uncharacterized. The transcript is spliced from 4 exons. Lineage: Eukaryota; Metazoa; Chordata; Mammalia; Rodentia; Chinchillidae. The record is from RefSeq and is a predicted model, not a curated record.
GCAGUUUCAUUGUGAAAAGGAGAACCGAGCUCCUUCCUAGCAAAUGGUGUGGUUAUAGACAGCUGAGGUAGGGAGAAAUAUUGUAGGCAGUCAGACAGGGCGGGGUGCUCGAAGGAGCCGCGCAGAACAUGGGGUACAUUGCCACUGUGGAGGAGGCACCUCCGAUGAGGGCCAGGUCUCAAGACCAAAGAAAUGACAAUAUGGUGUAGUAAGACAGGAUCUGAAGAACCUGUUGCCACUUCUCUGCUAUAUGACUUAGGGGCCUUUGGUGUCUACUGUCUGCAUUUCUAGCCAGAGUCCAUGUGCUGUACCACUGCUGGUGGGGCAUCAUGUCCUGAAGCCCAUGAAGUAUUUGCUCUGCACAUGCAACAGCUUUUAUGGAGUUGGGCUGGACUAGAGUCUGCUUGACCACUCUCUUGGUUCUGGUUUUGCAAGGUGGCUCCCUGAGAAGUCUUUCUUGCUCAACCUGGUCCC